CUGUGGUGUAACUGGUAGCAUACCUCCCUGUGACGGAGUUGGUUCGGGUUCAAAUCUCGGCAGGCGGA
This 68-nucleotide transfer RNA is filed under the name Methanobrevibacter sp. RNAcentral's name for it is "tRNA-His". It matches the Rfam family "tRNA". From Rfam's summary of the family: Transfer RNA (tRNA) molecules are approximately 80 nucleotides in length. Their secondary structure includes four short double-helical elements and three loops (D, anti-codon, and T loops). The record is from RNAcentral. Lineage: Archaea; Methanobacteriati; Methanobacteriota; Methanobacteria; Methanobacteriales; Methanobacteriaceae.